AGAAGAAAAUAUUCAUGUUCUAAAAUGGUGAAAAUAACAGGUUAAAUCUUCUCUUCUCUUCUUUUUCUUUUGAUUUUAAGUUUGCGCCAUAACCAGCAAAUGCACAUUCAGAUUUAGGGCUUUCUGUAAUACCUAAUCGUCUUUCUUAUAUACUUCUUAAAAACCAACUCUCUAACUAACAUUUUUAGCACUUGUUUUUUCUAGGGUUUCUUCCCCAACAUUACUUCUAGGGUUUCUCACAAUUUAAAUUCAGUCACCACAUUAAUUCUCUCUUUACUUCAGCUCAAAAGCUUCAAUCUUUUCAGUUAUUUUUUUCUUCUUUGAUAUUGGGUUGGUUUUAAUUCAAGAUUCUUCUGCUUCUGGGAGGAGUUUAAAUUCUACUUCUUGUUGUUGUUUGCAAUUGGAUUGAACUGGGCUUUUUAAAGUCAAUAUAAUUGAGUGAAGAUUGGAAUGAAUAGUGUAUUUAGUGAACAGAUUCUUGCUGAUAAGCUUUCUAAGCUCAACAGCACCCAGCAAUGCAUUGAAACUCUGUCACAUUGGUGCAUAUUUCACCGAAGUAAAGCGGAGCAAGUUGUGCAAACAUGGGAUAAACAGUUUCACAGCUCACAGAUGGAACAGAAAGUUCCCUUGUUGUAUCUUGCAAAUGAUAUUCUUCAGAAUAGUAAACGUAAUGGGAAUGAAUUUGUAUCCGAAUUUUGGAAGGUUCUUCCCACGGCACUUAAAGAUCUUAAUGAGAAAGGCAGUGAUCGCGGAAAGACUGCAGUCACGCGAUUGGUGAGCAUAUGGGAAGAACGGAGAGUUUUUGGAUCCCGUGCUCGGAGCCUUCGAGAUGUAAUGCUUAGUGAAGAAAAUCCGCCGCCAUUGGAGUUCAGCAAAAAACGUUCGCGGUCUGUCAAAAUUAUGAAGCGGGAUACUCGAUCCAUUAAAACAAAAUUGACUAUUGGAGGUGCUGCAGAAAAAAUUGUAUCGGCAUUUCAUUUGGUUGGCAGUGAAAAUCAAACUGAAGAGGCAGAAAUGAGCAAUUGUAAGUCUGCAAUCAAUCUUGUGCGGAAGAUGGAAAAGGAUGUUGAAAUUGCAUGUAGAAGCGGUAAGGAUCCCAAAAGAAAAGUAAUGGCCAAAGAAAUAGAGGAAGAAGAAAAUCUUUUGAGACAAAGUAUUGAGAAAUUAAAAUCAGUUGAAGCAAGUAGAGUAGCACUUGUGUCUCAAUUAAAAGAAGCUCUGCAUGAACAGGAAGCCGAACUAGAGAACAUUCGAACUCAGAUGCAGGUAGCUCAGGCUCAGGCAGACGAGGCCAACAUCAUGCGAAAGAGGCUGAAUGAUGAAGAUUAUGUACCCAGUGCAUCUACUUCGACAACCCAAGCGGUUUAUACAAAUGCGAAAUCUGGACAAACAAAGAAAUCAGCUGCAGCAAUUGCUGCUGAAGUAGCUGACAAGCUUGCAGCCUCGAGCUCCUCUCAACUGAUUAUGCAUUCUGUUCUUUCUACAUUCGCAGCUGAAGAGGCAAAGAAUGCUGGAUUAACAAAGCCUGAAAAGUCCUUGCCGAUUUCAGAUCCCACUGUUUUUAUGCCUGCAUCUAACCAUCCCUAUCAGUCGGUUAUGUUACCGCCCCUGCCAAUGAUGCAAAACCAGGCCCCUAGCCCCCAAGCUCAAUAUCACAUGCUUCCAAAUCCACCAUCCCAACAAUAUAUGCAGCCAUCAGGGAAUGUGAUGAACCCAUAUGGUUAUGGACCGCCGCCACCGCCACCAUCUUAUAUGGUGAGUCCAAUGGUGCCUUUGAAUCAACAACAGCAACUGGCACAACAGCAGGCCCAAAUUCCCCAGCUACAACCGAUGCCAUUAACUCAACAAGUUAUGGGCCCUCCUAGUUUCCGACCCCUUCAGCCACCUGGGAUGGUGUAUUAUGGCCGCCCUCCCCAUUCAUAAUUAUUUUUAGGCGGUAGAUAGUUUAAUCAGUAUGCCCAUGUUUCCAGGGAGAAUCAUUUUCUCAGAGCAUUUGAAAUUUUGUUUGUGAUGAUCAAUCAGCCUUACUCAGUUAACAGCAUAUAGAAAUCUGAAACAGUUAAACUGGAAUAUUAUCACGAGCAAUCUACGCUGCUGCUGGACGUGGAAUGCUCAUUGCCCCAUGGAAUUUGCAAAUCAUGCCUUUAGCAUCUGCUUCAUCAUGGAGUGCUUGCUGUCGGGUGGGAUUGCGCCAUCUCGUGAUUGUCGAUAUAUAAGAAAAUUGGUUAAAUAUAGAAGAAGUGGAAUUGGAUUUGAGGAUGUAAAUAGGAGAUUCUGUACAAGUUUUGAAGUGACUAAUUUUGGGUACUUAAAUUUUUUGAAGAAAGAAAGGAAGCAUACAUGUGCAGGCUGAGUAUAUUAUUGUGCUUGCAUUCUUCACCA
RNA transcript from Mercurialis annua (annual mercury), 2382 nucleotides. RefSeq lists it as uncharacterized. The record is from RefSeq and is a predicted model, not a curated record. NCBI's taxonomy places the organism in Eukaryota, Viridiplantae, Streptophyta, Magnoliopsida, Malpighiales, Euphorbiaceae. The transcript has 8 exons.